GACGAACGCUGGCGGCGUGCUUAACACAUGCAAGUCGAACGGUAAGGCCCUUCGGGGUACCCGAGUGGCGAACGGGUGAGUAACACGUGGGUAAUCUGCUCUGCACAUCGGGAUAAGCCUGGGAAACUGGGUCUAAUACCGCAUAGGACCACAGGACACAUGUCCUGUGGUGGAAAGCUUUUGCGGUGUGGGAUGGGCCCGCGGCCUAUCAGCUGGUUGGUGGGGUGAUGGCCUACCAAGGCGACGACGGGUAGCCGGCCUGAGAGGGUGUCCGGCAACACUGGGACGGAGAUACGGCCCAGAGUACGCCGGGGGGCAGAAGUGGGGAAUAUUGCACAAUGGGCGAUAGCCUGAUGCAGCGUCGGUGCGGAAGGGAUGACGGCCGUCGGGUUGUAAACCUCUUUCAGAAACGAAGAAGGUCCGGGUUUUCUCGGGCUGACGGUAGGUGGAGAAGAAGCACCGGCCAACUACGUG
RNAcentral lists this ribosomal RNA (474 nucleotides) under uncultured bacterium. RNAcentral describes it as "partial 16S ribosomal RNA". It matches the Rfam family "Bacterial small subunit ribosomal RNA", at positions 28 to 507 of the family's 1533-position model. The record is from RNAcentral.